This 1403-nucleotide long non-coding RNA is filed under the name Homo sapiens (human). Its description in RNAcentral is "HSALNT0213109". Lineage: Eukaryota; Metazoa; Chordata; Mammalia; Primates; Hominidae. The record is from RNAcentral.
AGGAGACCAGAGAGGCAGGUGGCGGUUGCCGGUCCGGGAAUCUGGGCCAGUCCGCCUUCCUCCAAGGCAUCAGAGGGGAGGGAUUUCAAGGGUCCUCAAAGGUUCCCCUUCUUAAGCAAUGCAUAGCACCCAUCCUAGGAGCGUCCGUCCGUUCACUUGUAUGUCUGUCCGAAUGGAAGUGCCUCCUUGGGCCAGGUGCGGUGGCUCACGCCUAUAAUCCCAGCACUUUGGGAGGCCAAGGCGGGCAGAUCACUUGAGGUCAGGAGUUGGAGACCAGCCUGGCCAACAUGGUGAAACCUCGUCUCUACUAAAAAACAAAAAAUUAGCCAGGCGUGGUGGCGCAUGCCUGUAAUCCCAGCUACUUGAGAGGCUGAGGCAGGAGAAUCGCUUGAAUCGGGGAGGCAGAGGUUGCAAUGAGCUGAGGUAGCACCACUGCACUCCAGCCUGAGUGACAGAGUGAGACUCAACUAUAAACAAACAAACAAACAAACAAAUAAAUAAAGGGCCUCCUUGGAGGCCCAACACAUCAGGGACAUCUCAUCCACCGCUUACUCCUCCCAAGCCCAGCAGAGCAGGGAGGGUGGCGGAGCAUUUGCCCAGUGUGCACGGCUAAUGCCAUCCCGUCCACGUGAUCAAGUGGUACCUGGAAGAACCUGACAAGGCAGCUCCAGACUAAGGACAAGUCAACCCCUUUUCUAGCCUGUUUCCUCAUGGUGAACUGACAGGGUGGGACUAGAACUCACAAGUGGCCAGGCCAGCAUUGGAAGCCAGCUCUGCCUGCCCGCACAGGCCUGGACGCCCAGCCACAACCUGGUGUCCCCUCUGCCCAGCUCUCGCCUUGGCUCUCAAUCAUUAAUGAAGAUGUGAAGUGAGACACCAAUCCUCACAGCCCCCACCACGUGCUCCCUCCCAUGCCUGGCGCUGCUGGAGUCAUUAUCCUUCCUGGUGUGACAGGGUCAGAACCAAACCAAUUUGCAUCAGUCUUUGGUGAUGUUGUGAAGCGUCGCCUGCCCUGCAAUCCUGCUGCUGUAACAACUGCUUCAGCUGUCUGUUCUGGAGUGCUCUUCGCUCCUUUGGAAGACUGAUCAGAUCUGGCCACCCCAGUUCUGGCUGAAAGCCCUAGAGCGACCGCAAUGGUAGGGCAGGAUUCAGGGCUACACAUGGCUGACAUUGUUCCUUCUUCGUUUUGCUCUUCUGAGCUGGACAGAAAGCAGUCCCUCUUUGGAAAACAGGAUGGACAAGUGCAUACAUUAGUGGAGGACGCAGCAGAUGUGGCAGGCAUAGAAUUUUACUCAUUGCUCCAUCUAUUUCUAUCAAGGAAAAUGGGGAGUGCUCCCAAUUUCCGCCCAUUUUCUAGCCCAGGCCUAGUCAGAUGUGUGGGCUUGUAUAUUCUGGGAACCUGG